AAACGCUGAAGGCAUCUAAGCGUGAAGCCCCCCUCAAGAUGAGAUGUCCCAUUCGAAAGAAGUAAACCCCCUUGAAGACGACGAGGUAGAUAGGGCAGGGGUGGAAGUGCAGUAAUGCAUGGAGCUGACUGUUACUAAUAGGGUGAGGGCUUGACCAA
RNAcentral lists this ribosomal RNA (158 nucleotides) under Ruminococcus sp. AM42-11. RNAcentral's name for it is "Bacterial large subunit ribosomal RNA". It matches the Rfam family "Bacterial large subunit ribosomal RNA", at positions 2766 to 2925 of the family's 2925-position model. Lineage: Bacteria; Bacillati; Bacillota; Clostridia; Eubacteriales; Oscillospiraceae. The record is from Rfam by way of RNAcentral.